RNAcentral lists this long non-coding RNA (292 nucleotides) under Daucus carota (carrot). Its description in RNAcentral is "long non-coding RNA (DCAR_LNC001077)". Lineage: Eukaryota; Viridiplantae; Streptophyta; Magnoliopsida; Apiales; Apiaceae. The record is from RNAcentral.
UGUCAACGUGGUCUUGGGAGGAUCCUGUUCCCCUCCUCCCAGCCCGGACUCAUGUCAAGAGGUAAUGUCCAUCCAAGUCUUCCCCGAACAAGUCAUUUCCUUCAGCAGCAAGGACUUCGAGGGUGUCACCCGGGGUCACAAUCAGGCCCUGGUGGUAACCCUGGAUAUAGCCGAGAAUGAGGUCAGACGGAUCUUAGUCGACAAUGGCUCUUCAGCAAACAUCCUGUUCAAACACACCAUGGACCGAAUGCAACUAGGGAACAUCCGGAUGAACGACUACAGGGAGGACCCC